AUACGGAGGAUCCGAGCGUUAUCCGGAUUUAUUGGGUUUAAAGGGAGCGUAGGUGGAUUGUUAAGUCAGUUGUGAAAGUUUGCGGCUCAACCGUAAAAUUGCAGUUGAAACUGGCAGUCUUGAGUACAGUAGAGGUGGGCGGAAUUCGUGGUGUAGCGGUGAAAUGCUUAGAUAUCACGAAGAACUCCGAUUGCGAAGGCGGCUCACUAGAAUGUGACUGACACUGAUGCUCGAAAGUGUGGGUAUCAAACAGGAUUAGAUACCCUGGUAGUCCACACAGUAAACGAUGAAUACUCGCUGUUUGCGAUAUACAGUAAGCGGCCAAGCGAAAGCAUUAAGUAUUCCACCUGGGGAGUACGCCGGCAACGGUGAAACUUAAAUGAAUUGGCGGGG
Molecule: ribosomal RNA, 393 nt
Filed under: uncultured bacterium
Lineage: Bacteria
Description: partial 16S ribosomal RNA
Rfam family: Bacterial small subunit ribosomal RNA
Source: RNAcentral